GGGGGUGUAGCUCAGCUGGGAGAGCAUCUGAUUUGCAUUCAGAAGGUCGCAGGUUCGAUCCCUGUCACCUCCACCA
This 76-nucleotide transfer RNA is filed under the name Pseudobdellovibrionaceae bacterium. RNAcentral describes it as "Bdellovibrionaceae bacterium tRNA-Ala". It matches the Rfam family "tRNA". Rfam says of the family: Transfer RNA (tRNA) molecules are approximately 80 nucleotides in length. Their secondary structure includes four short double-helical elements and three loops (D, anti-codon, and T loops). The record is from RNAcentral. Lineage: Bacteria; Pseudomonadati; Bdellovibrionota; Bdellovibrionia; Bdellovibrionales; Pseudobdellovibrionaceae. RNAcentral also lists the same sequence under 2 other names.